Molecule: long non-coding RNA, 756 nt
Filed under: Homo sapiens (human)
Lineage: Eukaryota; Metazoa; Chordata; Mammalia; Primates; Hominidae
Description: HSALNT0251425
Source: RNAcentral
CUGAUGUCCCCUGUGCCCGAGAAACAUGAUCCAGAGAUGUCCUUCAUGGAUUAAGUCAUUGAAGAUGACUUACACAAACAGUUUUAAAGCUUCAAAAUUUAUUGCUGUACAUUUUCUCAUAGCAUUUACUAUGGAAAUACUAAUAGUGCAAAUAUUUAUUUUGGACUUCAUAGCAUUUGAGAAAUCACAAAGCUUGUUUAUAUCUUUGCAAUUAUUUAUGAAGAUCUAUAUUAUUUUAAAAAUCCAAACGAGUAAUCUUAUAUUCAAAGAGAUUGUAUAACACUCUCUAGAUCUCCUCUUUAGACCAAAAAAAAAAAAAAAAACACCCUGGAAGCCACCAAGGGCAUUUCUUUCCUUUAUAAUACAUACAGCUUCUAACACUUUUCCAACUGCAUGACUCUUGUUCAUUCACAGAUUCAUUCAACAAAUAUUUAAUGACAAGCUAUUACGUGCCAGGCACUGGGCUAGGCUCGGGGAACAUGAGGAUGAAAAAGCACAAUCUCUGCUUUUACGGUGCUUACAGUCUAAUAGUAGAAACAGACAUGCAAAAAAAAAUUACAAUACAAUACAAUAAAGUGCUUCCAUGGAGGUAUUUACAAAGUGCGGUGGGAACAGGGAAGGCGGGAAAGAACAUCUGCCUGAAGAAAUCAGGGACAGCUUCACAGAGGAGGUAGCCAUUGAGCUGAGACUUCAUCAAUGAUUAGGAAUUCACCAUGUAGACGGUCCAGAGGACAGGAAAGGCAGUUCAUAUGAAGG